RNAcentral lists this ribosomal RNA (1251 nucleotides) under Triticum aestivum (bread wheat). RNAcentral's name for it is "partial small subunit ribosomal RNA". The record is from RNAcentral. Lineage: Eukaryota; Viridiplantae; Streptophyta; Magnoliopsida; Poales; Poaceae.
AUGUAUCACUAUCUGCGACUCUCUCUACUGCUGGUCACCACUCUCUCCGACGUAGCAAUUGCUCAAAGAUGGAGGGAGAUCAGCGGCAGCAACCAAUGGAGCGGCCUCCUAGACCCCCUCGACAUCGACGUCCGGCGCGACGUCAUCCGCUACGGCGAGCUGGCGCAGGCGACGUCGGACGCCUUCAUCACGGACCCCGCGUCGCCGUACGCCGGGGCUUGUCGCUACAGCCCGGCCUCGUUCUUCAACAAGGUUCAGGCAUCCGACCCGGGCGCGUACCGCGUCACAAGGUUCAUCUACGCGACGUCGAGCGCCCGGCUGCCUGACGGGUUCAUGGCGAGGCCGCUGCCGGCGGGCGCGUGGAGCACGGAGUCCAACUGGAUGGGGUACGUCGCGGUGGCCACGGACCGCGGCGCGGCGGCGCUGGGGAGGCGGGACAUUGUGGUGGCGUGGCGCGCGACGAAGCGGGCGACGGAGUGGGCCAGCGACCUGGACUUCGCGCUGGUGCCGGCGGCCGGCAUCGUCGGGCCGGGGCGCGGCUGGUCGCAGCCGUACGUGCACAGGGGGUUUCUGUCCGUGUACACGUCCAAGAAUUCCACGUCCCGGUUCAACAGACGAAGCGCGCGCGAGCAGGUGCUGACUGAAGUAAGAGGGCUGCUCGAUACGUACAAGAACGAGGACUGCAGCAUCAGCAUAACCGGCCACAGCCUCGGAGGCGCACUGUCGACGCUCAACGCCAUCGACCUGGUCGCCAAUGGAUUCAACGUCCACGGUCCGUCCCGAUCCCCUGUGCCCGUCACGGCCAUCCACUUCGGCGCCCCCCGCGUCGGCGACGAGCAGUUCAAGAAGGCUUUCCACUCGAUGGCCGGCCUGAGCCUGCUCCGGGUCCUCAACGUCCCGGACAUCGUGCCGACCAUCCUGCCGCCGGUGAUCUACGCCGACGUCGGCGUGGAGCUGCUCGUGGACACGCGCAAGUCACCGUACCUCAAGGAGAAGGCGGGCCCUGCCCAGUGGCACAACCUCGAGGGCUACUUGCACGGCGUCGCGGGCACGCACGGCGCCCGCGACGUCGCGGGGUUCGGCCUGGAGGUGGACCGCGACUUGGCGCUCAUCAACAAAGAAGAGGACGCGCUCAGAGACGAGUACCCCGUGCCGGCGAUGUGGUGGGCGGAGAAUAACAAGGGCAUGGUCAAGAACGCCACUGGACACUGGGUGUUGCACGACCACGAGGAGGGUAACCUUGCGUUGUGA